This 298-nucleotide signal recognition particle RNA is filed under the name Vombatus ursinus (common wombat). Its description in RNAcentral is "Metazoan signal recognition particle RNA (ENSVURG00010003256.1)". It matches the Rfam family "Metazoan signal recognition particle RNA". From Rfam's summary of the family: The signal recognition particle (SRP) is a universally conserved ribonucleoprotein. It is involved in the co-translational targeting of proteins to membranes. Lineage: Eukaryota; Metazoa; Chordata; Mammalia; Diprotodontia; Vombatidae. The record is from RNAcentral.
GCUGGGGCAGUGAGCCAUACCUGUAGUCUCGGCUACUGGGAAGGAUGAGUGUGAUGGGUCACUUGAGCUCAGGAAUUCUGAGCUACAGUGAGCUAAACCAAUUGAGUGUCUUCACUAAGCCCCUUACCAAUAUGAUGGGACCCUGCAAGCAGGCGGCCACCAGGCUGCCUAAGGAGGGGAGAGCUGAUCCAGAUUAGAAAAUAGAGCAGGUCAAUGUUCCUGUGUUGAUCAGUAGUGGGAUCAGGUCUAUGAAUAGUUAGUGUACUUGCAGCUUUGGAAAGAUAGGGUACCCCAAUUU